CCGGGCGACAAUAUCGCUGGGGAGACACCUCUUCCCAUUUCGAACAGAGAAGUUAAGCCCAGCAGAGCCGAUGGUACUGCACUGGCAACGGUGUGGGAGAGUAGGACAUCGCCGGAA
Molecule: ribosomal RNA, 117 nt
Filed under: Fidelibacterota bacterium
Lineage: Bacteria; Pseudomonadati; Fidelibacterota
Source: RNAcentral